RNAcentral lists this unclassified non-coding RNA (378 nucleotides) under uncultured Oligoflexales bacterium. Its description in RNAcentral is "contains 16S-23S intergenic spacer region". The record is from RNAcentral. Lineage: Bacteria; Pseudomonadati; Bdellovibrionota; Oligoflexia; Oligoflexales.
UCCGGCUUAACGCCGGCGGUCUCCAUAGAGUGCCCAACUUAAUGGUGGCAACUAAGGAUAGGGGUUGCGCUCGUUAAGGGACUUAACCCGACAUCUCACGAUACGAGCUGACGACAGCCAUGCAGCACCUGAACCGGAAGUGUAUUGCUACAAGAGGAUAUCUCUACCCUUGUCUUCCGUUAUCUAACCCAGGUAAGGUUCUUCGCGUUGCAUCGAAUUAAACCACAUGCUCCACCGCUUGUGCGGGCCCCCGUCAAUUCCUUUGAGUUUUAACCUUGCGGCCGUACUUCCCAGGCGGGAUACUUAAUGCGUUAGCUGCGGCACUGUAGGGGUCAAUUCCCACAACACCUAGUAUCCAUCGUUUACGGCGUGGACUAC